GCUAAUACCGGAUAAUAUUUUGAACCGCAUGGUUCAAAAGUGAAAGACGGUCUUGCUGUCACUUAUAGAUGGAUCCGCGCUGCAUUAGCUAGUUGGUAAGGUAACGGCUUACCAAGGCAACGAUGCAUAGCCGACCUGAGAGGGUGAUCGGCCACACUGGAACUGAGACACGGUCCAGACUCCUACGGGAGGCAGCAGUAGGGAAUCUUCCGCAAUGGGCGAAAGCCUGACGGAGCAACGCCGCGUGAGUGAUGAAGGUCUUCGGAUCGUAAAACUCUGUUAUUAGGGAAGAACAUAUGUGUAAGUAACUGUGCACAUCUUGACGGUACCUAAUCAGAAAGCCACGGCUAACUACGUGCCAGCAGCCGCGGUAAUACGUAGGUGGCAAGCGUUAUCCGGAAUUAUUGGGCGUAAAGCGCGCGUAGGCGGUUUUUUAAGUCUGAUGUGAAA
RNAcentral lists this ribosomal RNA (450 nucleotides) under Staphylococcus aureus. Its description in RNAcentral is "bacterial SSU rRNA". It matches the Rfam family "Bacterial small subunit ribosomal RNA", at positions 162 to 599 of the family's 1533-position model. The record is from RNAcentral. Lineage: Bacteria; Bacillati; Bacillota; Bacilli; Caryophanales; Staphylococcaceae.